UGGGGAAUAUUGGGCAAUGGGCGCAAGCCUGACCCAGCAACGCCGCGUGAAGGAUGAAGGUCUUCGGAUUGUAAACUUUUGUCUUCAGGGACGAUAAUGACGGUACCUGAGGAGGAAGCCACGGCUAACUACGUGCCAGCAGCCGCGGUAAUACGUAGGUGGCGAGCGUUAUCCGGAUUUACUGGGUGUAAAGGGCGUGUAGGCGGGAUAGUAAGUCAGAUGUGAAAUGCCAAGGCUCAACCUUGGAGCUGCAUUUGAAACUAUUAUUCUUGAGUGUUGGAGAGGUAAGUGGAAUUCCUAGUGUAGCGGUGAAAUGCGUAGAUAUUAGGAGGAACACCAGUGGCGAAGGCGACUUACUGGACAAUAACUGACGCUGAGGCGCGAAAGCGUGGGGAGCAAACA
RNAcentral lists this ribosomal RNA (402 nucleotides) under uncultured Eubacteriales bacterium. RNAcentral describes it as "uncultured Clostridiales bacterium partial 16S ribosomal RNA". It matches the Rfam family "Bacterial small subunit ribosomal RNA", at positions 355 to 774 of the family's 1533-position model. The record is from RNAcentral. Lineage: Bacteria; Bacillati; Bacillota; Clostridia; Eubacteriales.